This 307-nucleotide ribosomal RNA is filed under the name uncultured Pseudomonas sp. RNAcentral's name for it is "bacterial SSU rRNA". It matches the Rfam family "Bacterial small subunit ribosomal RNA", at positions 1077 to 1382 of the family's 1533-position model. The record is from RNAcentral. Lineage: Bacteria; Pseudomonadati; Pseudomonadota; Gammaproteobacteria; Pseudomonadales; Pseudomonadaceae.
GGGUUAAGUCCGUAACGAGCGCAACCCUUGUCCUUAGUUACCAGCACGUUAUGUGGGCGACUCUAAGGAGACUGCCGGUGGACAAACCGGAGGAAAGGUGGGGAUGACGUCAAGUCAUCAUGGCCCUUACGGCCUGGGCUACACACGUGCUACAAUGGUCGGUACAAAGGGUUGCCAAGCCGCGAGGUGGAGCUAAUCCCAUAAAACCGAUCGUAGUCCGGAUCGCAGUCUGCAACUCGACUGCGUGAAGUCGGAAUCGCUAGUAAUCGUGAAUCAGAAUGUCACGGUGAAUACGUUCCCGGGCCUU